AUGUCAAGUGAGAAGAACCCUGAGGUGGUGGGCUGCGAUGCCUCCAUCAUGAAGAACGUGUGGGAAAUCAGAGCGAGAGAGUACAGACAGAAGAUGCAGCUGGAGCAGGAGCGCCUGGACAAGAGCGCUCUGCCCCUCAUUAAUCAAGACUGGGCGAAUCGUUUUACUGGCAAACUGGGAAACCACAAAAGAGUGGAAAUGAAAAGACAACCAGGUACUUUUGAGAACGACAACAACAACAUCUGGAAGGACAAGCAAGCCCCCGUCCCAGCUCCUCCUCCUCGCGGUGCAGCUUCAGGCCUACUCAGACCCGGAGGCCAGAACAGAAGCGUCGCCACUCAAGCCCCAAACCACAAAGACAAGAAACAGCUCGAAAAGAAGAGGCUUCAGCUGCUCGCGUUCAUCGCCCAGUCUCAACCUUCCUCUAUGGUCUGGGGCAAGUCAUGGAAGUACAACAAGUCCCUGCCUCCAGCAGAGGGCAGCGCUGCAUCACACUGGGGCCAGUGCUGGAUGUUUGCUACCCAGCAGCCCCACACUGAGGAAGGCAAGCCUUGGCCCAAUGGGCCCAAUUCACUGGAUCCUCACAGCCUUCACCUCUGGAAACAAGCUGACCGCAGAGCGAGGGACUCACGCGGUAUAGAAUGGAGUCCUCUCACUGAGCAGUGGCAGACGUCCUGGAAAAAAGCAGACACGACCCAGAAGAAGGACAUGCCUCCUGGAAAUGGAGAGACUGGAUUGUUUGCGCUGUUAGAGGAAACCCAGCACUACAACGCUGCAGAGUGGACUAAGUCCUGGCAGUCCACCAAAGCAGCCAAUCAGCACUCAGAGAGUUUCACUGAUCCAGGUGAGGGUUUGAUGGAUCAGGUUGGAGCUGGAAAACAAGAUGCAGGUGUGACCUCCAGGUGGGAGAUAUGUUGGAGACUCUCUAACCAUCAUGGCUGCAACCAUUCUGAGCUACUCCAAGUUAACCAUUGUCACAGCCCAGAGUGGGCCGCCGCAUGGAGAACAGCAGUAGUGGCCUCCAACAACUCCCCUUCAACUCCCCUUCUGAGGCGAGAUGGCAAUGAUGAAGACAAAGACUGCAGCCAGACGAGACUGACGCAUCUUCACCGCAUCAGUAACCAGAGACAUCGAGAUCUGCAUCUGCAGCUCUGCAGUGACUUAGAGGUUCUCACUGAAUGGAACAAGUCCUGGCAGGUGGUUAAAAACAACUUGAAACCAUCUGAAGAAAUGGAGAAAGUCCUAAAAAGCCUUGAGUCUUUGAAGAUGAAGGAAAAUGACAAGAAGUUUCAGUUGACUUCAGAGAAAGUACACGAACAAUUAAAACACAAGAAUGAAAGUGAAAGUUCCCACUAUUCUAAUGAUUUACAGACUCCCAUGAGGUAUAUUAGGCCAGUGUCGGAUUGGCAGGCGAACUGGAUGGUCUCUGAAAGUGAUGUCCACCAUGACAAUGCGUCUCUUAGCCAGUGGAGCGAAGCCUGGAUGUCGUCCACCGGGAAGAUCCAGCACUGGGCUGAAGACAUGUCCAGAGAGGAACGGGAGAAUGAAGCCGUGGAGAUCCAGCCUAUGAAAGAGAUUUUCAUUCAAAGGGCCAAACAAACGAGCCAGUGUAUGGACAACCAGACAUUCAGGGGCAGUUACCCCAUGGAAGACUGGGGUGCUUCAUGGAAGGCUAGCUCACUUCCGAACCUUCAACUGAGUCUCAAUGAAUGUUCUGGUACGCAAAGAGUACGCAGCACUCCUGACGCUGGCACUGAGCGUGGAUCUGAGUUGGGAAUGUCAUUCCGACUGGCCAUUCCAAUGCCCCACAUGGAAAAACACUGGGCAGAGUCCACUCCAAACCCGCAUCACUAUACUGUUGUUUGGCCGGCAGGAAGAAACAUCACUCGAAACCAAAUCAACACCAGUUGUGUCCAGAUCUUCGCAACCUUAAGGCUUUGGCAAAACUCACAUGUGUUUGUGAAUAGUGCCCAGAUCAAUAAGUCAAAGGAAUCCACGGACCCUAGGGUGAUUAUACGUAAGCAGAUAAACACAAGGAAACAUUUGUGCUCCUACAUUAAAAAGGGUCAAUCAGAUAGAAAGUGGGCAGGAUGUCACCUUCUGGGUAAAACCCAGCCACGCCCCAAGAAAACCUCUGCACCGGUACCGAAGCUCAGCAUGGAUAAUGAAACCAACAACUCUUUUGAGGAGUGGGGAGACUCAUGGAGAUGUUUUGUCCGGCCUGGCAUGAAGAAACAUACACUCAGUAAGUCUCUGUCAGGCUGGAAUGAGUCCUGGAAGUUCCUCCUUCCUCCACGUCAGACAGGAAACAGCCCCAAAGCCAGAUAGAAGCCAAGGCCACCAUGUGUUUGAACAGAGGAGUUAGCUGAUGUUUUAGCUGUUGAACCUCUGUUUAUAUACCACAUGUACACAUGUAUACUAUACAACAACUACUAAAAUUAAAAAAGACAGGAAGGAUGUUAUUUAGUUAAAGCAACUGCUAAUGAUGUAAUGGAAUAAGAGAAAGUUGUAUGAAGGUAACUGUAAGUUGAAGGGUUGAUGGUUGAAGGGAAAUGGUUGUUGGAAUGGAAAGGAAGAUAAUGAGGUUGAUAAUAGUUACAUACUUUAGAUGUUACUUUACACAGCUUUAGUAUGACAUGAUGGUAAAUGUAACAUGUUUGUGAAGCCUCUUCAAAUAAAGCUGUAAAC
Betta splendens (Siamese fighting fish) is the source of this 2688-nucleotide long non-coding RNA. NCBI's taxonomy places the organism in Eukaryota, Metazoa, Chordata, Actinopteri, Anabantiformes, Osphronemidae. The record is from Ensembl.